UACGUAGGGUCCGAGCGUUGGUCCGGAAUUAUUGGGCGUAAAGGGCUCGUAGGCGGUUUGUCACGUCGGGAGUGAAAUUCCACAGCUUAACUGUGGAAUUGCUUCCGAUACGGGCAGACUUGAGGCAUUCAGGGGGAGAACGGAAUUCCUGGUGUAGCGGUGAAAUGCGCGAUAUCAGGAGGAACACCGGUGGCGAAGGCGGUUCUCUGGGAAUGU
This 216-nucleotide ribosomal RNA is filed under the name uncultured bacterium. Its description in RNAcentral is "partial 16S ribosomal RNA". It matches the Rfam family "Bacterial small subunit ribosomal RNA", at positions 524 to 738 of the family's 1533-position model. The record is from RNAcentral.